Molecule: transfer RNA, 73 nt
Filed under: Cliona patera
Lineage: Eukaryota; Metazoa; Porifera; Demospongiae; Clionaida; Clionaidae
Description: tRNA-Ile
Rfam family: tRNA
About the family: Transfer RNA (tRNA) molecules are approximately 80 nucleotides in length. Their secondary structure includes four short double-helical elements and three loops (D, anti-codon, and T loops). Further hydrogen bonds mediate the characteristic L-shaped molecular structure. tRNAs have two regions of fundamental functional importance: the anti-codon, which is responsible for specific mRNA codon recognition, and the 3' end, to which the tRNAs corresponding amino acid is attached (by aminoacyl-tRNA synthetases). tRNAs cope with the degeneracy of the genetic code in two manners: having more than one tRNA (with a specific anti-codon) for a particular amino acid; and 'wobble' base-pairing, i.e. permitting non-standard base-pairing at the 3rd anti-codon position.
Source: RNAcentral
CGGUAUGUAGCUUAAUAGGUGGAGCAGAGUCUUGAUAAGGCUAAGGAUAUUGGUUCAAUUCCAAUCUUACUGA